This 398-nucleotide ribosomal RNA is filed under the name uncultured Pseudomonas sp. Its description in RNAcentral is "bacterial SSU rRNA". It matches the Rfam family "Bacterial small subunit ribosomal RNA", at positions 984 to 1382 of the family's 1533-position model. Lineage: Bacteria; Pseudomonadati; Pseudomonadota; Gammaproteobacteria; Pseudomonadales; Pseudomonadaceae. The record is from RNAcentral.
ACAUGCAGAGAACUUUCCAGAGAUGGAUUGGUGCCUUCGGGAACUCUGACACAGGUGCUGCAUGGCUGUCGUCAGCUCGUGUCGUGAGAUGUUGGGUUAAGUCCGUAACGAGCGCAACCCUUGUCCUUAGUUACCAGCACGUUAUGGUGGGCACUCUAAGGAGACUGCCGGUGACAAACCGGAGGAAGGUGGGGAUGACGUCAAGUCAUCACGGCCCUUACGGCCUGGGCUACACACGUGCUACAAUGGUCGGUACAAAGGGUUGCCAAGCCGCGAGGUGGAGCUAAUCCCAUAAAACCGAUCGUAGUCCGGAUCGCAGUCUGCAACUCGACUGCGUGAAGUCGGAAUCGCUAGUAAUCGUGAAUCAGAAUGUCACGGUGAAUACGUUCCCGGGCCUU